This 1225-nucleotide long non-coding RNA is filed under the name Olea europaea (common olive). RNAcentral's name for it is "long non-coding RNA (OEUR_LNC005865)". Lineage: Eukaryota; Viridiplantae; Streptophyta; Magnoliopsida; Lamiales; Oleaceae. The record is from RNAcentral.
GGGAGAUGCAGGCUGCUCGUCUUGAGGCUCGUGUUGAACAGAUGUUUGAUGGCUUGGAUGAUGCUGAUGGUGCGGAGGAUGUACCCUUUGAUGAACUGGUUGGCAUGCAGGGACCUGUAUUCCAUUUGGUUGAGAAUGCAUUCACAGUGAGUUUAUAUGUCCCAUAAUUUCCUUAUUUCUUUUGGUGCCUGAUUGGAACUGGAUUUUAAUUUUGUUUUUUAAGUCAUUAUUAUUACAUGGAAUGCUAUUAAUCAUGUGCUUGAUAAUAUAUUUCCCUAGUUAACAUGAAACUCAGCUUGCUGCCAUGUAUGAAGCCUAUAGCUGAUCUGAUAUGGAUAGCUACUUCUGCAUUCUAGAUGUCAACUCAUCUAAUUUGCAAUGGCAGUAAUAAAUUUCUUAAAAUCUUGCAAUGCACAGUGAUGUAAUUUUCAAGUCUACUUAUUUUGUUCUUCAUGUAGACUUCUAUUGGAUUUAGUUUCAUGAGACCAUGCUAGGUGGAUUGGGUGGACUGACAGGUUAGCAUGCCUAUUUUACUGUUAUUAGUUUGCUGGGACGGUGAUAUACAUGUACAGAUGUAGUAACUUUCGAUCAAUCUCGUUAUGUCUGACUGUAGUUACUGGUUUAUAAGCCGUUCCAAUUUUCUGAAAAUUUGUUAUGCAUGAAAUUCCUCUCUUAGCUUUUUCUUGAAUAACUGAUCACUGGAAGCAAGUACUUGGGUAUUAGACUGUCUCCAAAUAAGUUUAAUUCUGUCAUCACUCAAUAAAGCAGAUGGGAAAUUGUCAGACAGUUGUUUUUGUAAAGUGGCAUGGUUUCUACAGCCAUGGUGCACUAUCAUUGGUUGUCAUUCACAGAUUUAAUUUCCUUACCUGGUGAACAAGAUGCCUUUACAUCAUCUCCAUGCUUGGAUGUCAGUGGAAUCAUUACUUGAUCUGCAUGUAAAGGUUUAUUUAUGAAUUGCUUUACAAAAUCAGCAAGCUCUUCUAAUGCAUUUUGUCUUAUAUGCAACGGAUUAUUUUGUUGCUGAACUUCCUCCUCUUCUUUGCAGGUUCUAGCAAGCAAUAUGAUUUUCCUUGGAGUUGUGAUCUUUGUGCCUUUCUCAUUAGGACGUGUUAUACUCUACUAUUUAUCCUGGAUUUGGUUUUCUGCUACUGGUCCUGUAUUAUCGACUGUCAUGCCACUUACGGAAUCGGCCCUGUCCUUGAAGAAUGCAGUGACUGCAGUCGUG